AUCGACGACAUCAGCCUGCUGAUGAGCUCCCACACGAAUUGCUUGAUUCAUUGUCGAAGACGUUUUUCCUGGUCAGAAUCUGGAAAUGAGCAUUCGCAUCGAAUGUUGAUUUCUGGCUUUUGUCAGAUCGUUCUUUAAAAAUUCGGAUAUGUGAUAGAUAUAGACUGAACACCAGUUUCACUGCUGGUGGAUCAGGCUAAGGUAAAAUUUGUGAGUUCUGCUCGAAAGAGCAACGUACGAAUUUUCGGCGAAUGUCGUCUUCACAGUAUAACCAGAUUGCUUGGGGUUAUAU
This 292-nucleotide unclassified non-coding RNA is filed under the name Pseudomonas putida. Lineage: Bacteria; Pseudomonadati; Pseudomonadota; Gammaproteobacteria; Pseudomonadales; Pseudomonadaceae. The record is from RNAcentral.